Molecule: long non-coding RNA, 1096 nt
Organism: Oenanthe melanoleuca
Lineage: Eukaryota; Metazoa; Chordata; Aves; Passeriformes; Muscicapidae
Exons: 3
Source: RefSeq, a predicted model, not a curated record
AGCUGAAGCUGCAGGAGUUCCCUGUGGAGGAGCAGCAGGUGCUGAACAUCCUGACCCAAGUGAACGUCACCAGGAGGGAGUGUGAGAUUGAGCUGGAGGGGAUGGAUUUUGAUGAGAAGAAAGAAAUCAAUAAAAGGAAACAGAUGAUCCUUGAAGGGAAGGAGCCGUGGCCGCGGCAGGGCGGGGCCGGCAGGAGGGAGCGGCUGCGGCAGAGGAAGCUGCGGCGGGGCAGGAGCGGCGGGAAGGAGCAGCAGUGACAGCCCGGGCUGCGCUGGGCUGGGACUGGACAUCAAUUAAUUUAAUUAAUUAAAAUCGGGGAGGACAUCCCAAAAUCCUGACACUGAGGAGCUCAGACCUCACCCCGUUCCUGCCAGGCUGCUCCAGAGGAUUCCAGGAUUAUUCCAGAAGGUUGAAAUAUUGUUAUUCCAAAAUUAUUUGGAAUAUAUUAUGAUAAAAGAUUGCAAUAUUAUUAUUCCAAAAGACUGAAAUAUUGUUAUUCCAAAAUUAUUUGGAAUAUAUUAUGCCAAAAGAUUGAAAUAUUGUUAUUCCAAAAGACUGAAAUAUUGUUAUUCCAAAAUUAUUUGGAAUAUAUUAUGACAAAAGGUUGCAAUAUUGUUAUUCCAGAAGAUUGCAAUAUUGUUAUUCCAAAAUAUUGAAAUAUUGUUAUUCUAGAAGGUUGAAAUAUUGUUAUUCCAAAAUUAUUAUGAUAAAAGAUUGCAAUAUUGUUAUUCCAAAAGAUUGCAAUAUUGUUAUUCCAAAAGAUUGCAAUAUUGUUAUUCCAGAAGAUUGCAAUAUUGUUAUUCCAAAAUAUUGAAAUAUUGUUAUUUCAAAAGAUUGAAAUAUUGUUAUUCCAAAAUUAUUUGGAAUAUAUUAUGCCAAAAGAUUGGAGAUUUCAGGGAUCCAGGGGCAGCCACAGCUGCUCUGGGAAUUCCAUCCUGGACAAGAAUUCCUUCCCAAAAUUCCUCCCAAAUUCCCCUUUUCCAGUUUAAAUCCAUCCCCUGUGUGCUGGAAUUCCAUCUUUAUCCCAAAUAUCCCAUUUAGGCUCCAGAAACAGCCUAAGGAAGGUGAGAUUUGAAAUUGAAAUUAAAUCCCACAG